UACGUAGGGUGCAAGCGUUAAUCGGAAUUACUGGGCGUAAAGCGUGCGCAGGCGGUUUUGUAAGUCAGAUGUAAAAUCCCCGGGCUUAACCUGGGAACUGCGUUUGAAACUACAAAGCUAGAGUGUAGCAGAGGGGGGUGGAAUUCCACGUGUAGCAGUGAAAUGCGUAGAUAUCGGGAGGAACACCAGUGGCGAAGGCGGCCUCCUGGCUUGUACCUGACUCUGAAACGCGAAAGCAUGGGUAGCAAACAGG
RNAcentral lists this ribosomal RNA (253 nucleotides) under uncultured bacterium. RNAcentral describes it as "partial 16S ribosomal RNA". It matches the Rfam family "Bacterial small subunit ribosomal RNA", at positions 524 to 776 of the family's 1533-position model. The record is from RNAcentral.